AGAUGCUUUUCAGUGAUAGCUCCAGUGUUUAUUAUUUCAUACAACAUGGCCAGCGUUUUGGAAGACAAUAUCUUUGCAGAAAGGUAUUGUCUAACAGAAAAGGGUAAUGAGUGGAUCCAAACUGAUAAACGGCUUUGCCAUUGUGUAGUACGAUGAAAUAGUUCCCAGAAUAUGCUGCCCAAUAAACAUCUUUCUGCAAUGAAUAGUAGCAAGCAGAUCAUGUUAAAAAGCUGCGGUGAACUGCCACCAGUCUCUUGGAUCGCUUCAUUUGGAAAUAAGAGAAAUGUUUACAUUCUGCACAUGUAAAGACACAAAGCAAGGACUGCACUCAAAAAGUCUCUCUACGAAUAAUACGUUGCUGCUGUUUGAUUCCUGCUAUAAUCAGGGAAAGUAAAUCAGAAUGCAUGAUGGAUGCCUAGUUUCAGCAUGAAUUUCACUUCCUACCAGACAGCACUUCAGCUAACUCUUCAGAUCAGCAUGUGAGUUAACCUUUUUGGAAACGAAAGGAAAUGCAACUACUGCUCUGCCCAGAAGAGAGCAAUGAGAAGCCAUUAAUCUCCCUUAUGUAACCAGGCAGGUGAUAUGGAAAUUUCCAGAUGGUGUGUUAGGACCACAUACUGCCCUGAAUCCAGGAUGUUGUUUAGAAAGGUGCUUUGGGCCUCUGCUUCAUGCCACGUUUCACCAGCUGACAUUUUAAAGCUGCUUUUUCACUACUCUGAGCUAAAUUUGCAAUACAUCGGUUUUUCUUCAGGAGAUUGGACACAUUAAAAACAAAAAUAAGGGUCAUUUGAGAUGCAGAGAUGUAGGCAUUAAUUUGAACCUAUGGAUUUGGACCUGUAUCUAUUUUCUGAUUUUUCUCUAAAAGAUUAAAGUGUUUAAAUCUUA
RNAcentral lists this long non-coding RNA (885 nucleotides) under Gallus gallus (chicken). Its description in RNAcentral is "lncRNA (ENSGALG00010002272.1)". Lineage: Eukaryota; Metazoa; Chordata; Aves; Galliformes; Phasianidae. The record is from RNAcentral.